This 304-nucleotide ribosomal RNA is filed under the name uncultured bacterium. RNAcentral describes it as "partial 16S ribosomal RNA". It matches the Rfam family "Bacterial small subunit ribosomal RNA", at positions 506 to 807 of the family's 1533-position model. The record is from RNAcentral.
CAGCAGUCGCCACGGUAAUACGUAGGGUGCAAGCGUUAAUCGGAAUUACUGGGCGUAAAGCGUGCGCAGGCGGUUAUAUAAGACAGAUGUGAAAUCCCCGGGCUCAACCUGGGAACUGCAUUUGUGACUGUAUAGCUAGAGUACGGCAGAGGGGGAUGGAAUUCCGCGUGUAGCAGUGAAAUGCGUAGAUAUGCGGAGGAACACCGAUGGCGAAGGCAAUCCCCUGGGCCUGUACUGACGCUCAUGCACGAAAGCGUGGGGAGCAAACAGGAUUAGAGACCCCAGUAGUCCCUGUCUCUUAUAC